Molecule: ribosomal RNA, 165 nt
Filed under: uncultured bacterium
Lineage: Bacteria
Description: partial 16S rRNA
Rfam family: Bacterial small subunit ribosomal RNA
Source: RNAcentral
UAGGGAAUCUUCCACAAUGGACGAAAGUCUGAUGGAGCAACGCCGCGUGAGUGAAGAAGGUUUUCGGAUCGUAAAGCUCUGUUGUUGGUGAAGAAGGAUAGAGGCAGUAACUGGUCUUUAUUUGACGGUAAUCAACCAGAAAGUUCACGGCUAACUACGUGCCAG